CUCAGAACGAACGCUGGCGGCGUGCUUAAUACAUGCAAGUCGUGCGAGAAAGUACCCUUCGGGGUGCGAGUACAGCGGCAAACGGGUGAGUAACACGUAAGGAAUCUGCCUCCAAAUCCGGAAUAGCUCUGCCAACGCGGAAUUAAUGCCGGAUGUGGUUGCAUGGUCGCAUGGCUAUGCAACUAAAGGUGACCUCUUCGUUUGAAAGUUACCGUUUGGAGAUGACCUUGCGGCCCAUUAGCUUGUUGGCGGGGUAACGGCCCACCAAGGCUGCGAUGGGUAGCCGGCCUGAGAGGGUGAUCGGCCACAUUGGGACUGAGAUACGGCCCAGACUCCUACGGGAGGCAGCAGUAGGGAAUUUUGCGCAAUGGACGAAAGUCUGACGCAGCAACGCCGCGUGAGCGAUGAAGGUCUUCGGAUCGUAAAGCUCUGUUGAGUGGGAAGAAACGUCUCGGGGUUAAUAUCUCCGAGGCCUGACGGUACCACUCGAGGAAGCUCCGGCCAACUACGUGCCAGCAGCCGCGGUAAUACGUAGGGAGCGAGCGUUGUUCGGAAUCACUGGGCGUAAAGGGAGUGCAGGCGGAAAGGUAAGUCAGAAGUGUAAUCUACGGGCUUAACCCGUAUCUCGCUUUUGAUACUGCUUUUCUUGAGUAGUGGAGAGGGAAACGGAAUUCCAGGUGUAGCGGUGGAAUGCGUAGAUAUCUGGAAGAACACCAGUAGCGAAGGCGGUUUCCUGGCCACAUACUGACGCUGAGGCUCGAAAGCGUGGGGAGCAAACAGGAUUAGAUACCCUGGUAGUCCACGCCGUAAACGAUGGGCACUAGAUAUCGGGGAAUUCGAUUUCUUCGGUGUCGCAGUUAACGCGAUAAGUGCC
This 874-nucleotide ribosomal RNA is filed under the name uncultured organism. Its description in RNAcentral is "bacterial SSU rRNA". It matches the Rfam family "Bacterial small subunit ribosomal RNA", at positions 23 to 868 of the family's 1533-position model. The record is from RNAcentral.